RNAcentral lists this ribosomal RNA (429 nucleotides) under Acidobacteriota bacterium. RNAcentral describes it as "Acidobacteria bacterium partial 16S ribosomal RNA". It matches the Rfam family "Bacterial small subunit ribosomal RNA", at positions 355 to 776 of the family's 1533-position model. Lineage: Bacteria; Pseudomonadati; Acidobacteriota. The record is from RNAcentral.
UGGGGAAUUUUGGACAAUGGGGGAAACCCUGAUCCAGCCAUCCCGCGUGUGCGAAGAAGGCCUUCGGGUUGUAAAGCACUUUUGGCAGGAAAGAAACGUCAUGGGUUAAUACCCCGUGAAACUGACGGUACCUGCAGAAUAAGCACCGGCUAACUACGUGCCAGCAGCCGCGGUAAUACGUAGGGUGCAAGCGUUAAUCGGAAUUACUGGGCGUAAAGCGUGCGCAGGCGGUUCGGAAAGAAAGAUGUGAAAUCCCAGAGCUCAACUUUGGAACUGCAUUUUUAACUGCCGGGCUAGAGUGUGUCAGAGGGAGGUGGAAUUCCGCGUGGAGCAGUGAAGUGCGUAGAUAUGCGGAGGAACACCGAUGGCGAAGGCAGCCUCCUGGGAUAACACUGACGCUGAUGCACGAGAGCGUGGGGAGCAAACAGG